GACGAACGCUGGCGGCGUGCUUAACACAUGCAAGUCGAACGGUGAAGCGCCUUCCUUUUUGGUGGGUGUGGAUGAGUGGCGAACGGGUGAGUAACACGUGAGUAACCUGCCCCCUUCUUCUGGAUAACCGCAUGAAAGUGUGGCUAAUACGGGAUAUUCUGGGUCUGUCGCAUGAUGGGUCUGGGAAAGAUAUUGUUUCGGUGGGGGAUGGGCUCGCGGCCUAUCAGCUUGUUGGUGGGGUGAUGGCCUACCAAGGCGGUGACGGGUAGCCGGCCUGAGAGGGUAGACGGUCACACUGGGACUGAGACACGGCCCAGACUCCUACGGGAGGCAGCAGUGGGGAAUAUUGCACAAUGGGCGCAAGCCUGAUGCAGCGACGCCGCGUGAGGGAUGGAGGCCUUCGGGUUGUGAACCUCUUUCGCCAGUGAAGCAGGCCUGCCUCGUUUGUGGGUGGGUUGACGGUAGCUGGAGAAGAAGCGCCGGCUAACUACGUG
This 494-nucleotide ribosomal RNA is filed under the name uncultured bacterium. Its description in RNAcentral is "partial 16S ribosomal RNA". It matches the Rfam family "Bacterial small subunit ribosomal RNA", at positions 28 to 507 of the family's 1533-position model. The record is from RNAcentral.